RNAcentral lists this ribosomal RNA (256 nucleotides) under uncultured bacterium. Its description in RNAcentral is "partial 16S ribosomal RNA". It matches the Rfam family "Bacterial small subunit ribosomal RNA", at positions 524 to 777 of the family's 1533-position model. The record is from RNAcentral.
UACGAAGGGUGCAAACGUUGCUCGGAAUUAUUGGGCGUAAAGCGCACGUAGGCGGCAUUGCAAGUCGGAUGUGAAAUCCCUCGGCUUAACCAAGGAAGUGCAUCCGAAACUGCAGUGCUUGAGUACUUAAGAGGAUCGCGGAAUUCCCGGUGUAGAGGUGAAAUUCGUAGAUAUCGGGAGGAACACCAGUGGCGAAGGCGGCUUCCUGGACCGACACUGACGCUGAGGCGGCGAAAAGCUAGGGGAGCAAACGGGG